This 828-nucleotide long non-coding RNA is filed under the name Olea europaea subsp. europaea. Lineage: Eukaryota; Viridiplantae; Streptophyta; Magnoliopsida; Lamiales; Oleaceae. The record is from RNAcentral.
AUUUUAUAUAUGCAUUAAUUUGUGGCUGAUUAUAAAUGGUCCACUGAUAUUUUUGGUUUACUACAUAAGGAAAGAUUUUUUGUCACCGAGUGUUGCUAAAGCAUUGCUGGAAAAGGAGAGUUUGGCAAAGGCCUAGCAAGAUGAAGAAGAACAAGCACGAUUGAGAGCAUCAGCCUUUGUUAUACCUCGUGUGGAAGAUACCGAUACAUAUGGAACAGCAGGUUCUAUCGAAGAAACUUUAGAUGGGGAAACGUCUGGACGAUGAGGAAAAGGAAAAGAUGAUGAGAGAAGCAGAAGUGUUUAAGGCAUGCUGACCUUGUCAGAAAGAUUGAGAAGAAGCUUGCUUUCGUAAGUUUUGUCCAAUAAAUUGUCUUUUGGUUCACUUAUUUUUUGUUCAUUUUUAAGAGCUUUUCAUUUAUUGAAUUUGUCUCCCUAAAAUAUUGUUGACUUGAAAUUUCUGUCACAAGUGGAGAGAAAGCUAGUGAAAGCUGAACAAGCGUCGUCGAAGGUUGAAGAGUGUUUAAAUCCAGCAGAUCAGCCAGCAGACGCACAAAGCAUUACUGAUGAGGAAAGGUUCAUGUUUCGGAAGCUUGGAUUAAGGAUGAAAGCCUUUUUACGUAAUCCUUCCCCAUUUCUUCUUAGCUUGAACAACCAUCGAUACAAUGGAAGGAUUAGAACUACAGUGGAUUACUACCUAGCUAGAAGGAUACACAAAAAUGAAAUUUAUCAUUUAUCAUUUUCGAUUUUAUCAUGUUUGCUGGUUUACCCACAUGCUUGUUUGACAUGAACGAUUGAAUAACGCCACAACAAUGUAACAGAUUGUGAAAG